Non-coding RNA from Acanthosepion pharaonis, 109 nucleotides. The record is from the annotation of a GenBank genome assembly. Lineage: Eukaryota; Metazoa; Mollusca; Cephalopoda; Sepiida; Sepiidae.
UUACGGCCAUAUCACAUUGAAAGGGCAGUUCUCGUACGACCACUGAAGUUAAGCAACGUCGAGGCUAAUCGGUACCUAGAUGGGUGACCGCUUGAGAUUAACAGGUAUU